AGUGCUUGCACUAAAUGAAACUAGAUACAAGCGAGCGGCGGACGGGUGAGUAACACGUGGGUAACCUGCCCAAGAGACUGGGAUAACACCUGGAAACAGAUGCUAAUACCGGAUAACAACACUAGACGCAUGUCUAGAGUUUGAAAGAUGGUUCUGCUAUCACUCUUGGAUGGACCUGCGGUGCAUUAGCUAGUUGGUAAGGUAACGGCUUACCAAGGCAAUGAUGCAUAGCCGAGUUGAGAGACUGAUCGGCCACAUUGGGACUGAGACACGGCCCAAACUCCUACGGGAGGCAGCAGUAGGGAAUCUUCCACAAUGGACGAAAGUCUGAUGGAGCAACGCCGCGUGAGUGAAGAAGGGUUUCGGCUCGUAAAGCUCUGUUGGUAGUGAAGAAAGAUAGAGGUAGUAACUGGCCUUUAUUUGACGGUAAUUACUUAGAAAGUCACGGCUAACUACGUGCCAGCAGCCGCGGUAAUACGUGGGUGGCAAGCGUUGUCCGGAUUUAUUGGGCGUAAAGCGAGUGCAGGCGGUUCAAUAAGUCUGAUGUGAAAGCCUUCGGCUCAACCGGAGAAUUGCAUCAGAAACUGUUGAACUUGAGUGCAGAAUAGGAGAGUGGAACUCCAUGUGUAGCGGUGGAAUGCGUAGAUAUAUGGAAGAACACCAGU
RNAcentral lists this ribosomal RNA (665 nucleotides) under uncultured bacterium. Its description in RNAcentral is "bacterial SSU rRNA". It matches the Rfam family "Bacterial small subunit ribosomal RNA", at positions 75 to 713 of the family's 1533-position model. The record is from RNAcentral.